This 63-nucleotide transfer RNA is filed under the name Spathoderma clenchi. RNAcentral's name for it is "tRNA-Trp". Lineage: Eukaryota; Metazoa; Mollusca; Caudofoveata; Chaetodermatida; Prochaetodermatidae. The record is from RNAcentral.
AAGAAUUUAAGUUAUUUGAAACUUUUGAUUUUCAAAAUCAACAUUGGCCGCUGCUAAUUCUUA